UCCUCGUCAGAGAGAUCCGGGACCACAGCACUUGAUGCAGAGAACCCUGAGUGUGUGGAGAUCAGGGGAGGGCAGAGGAGUCCAGACUGCCAGCAUUUUCUCUGGGUUCCUGAGGCCAUGAGGGAAGAAAGCAGUUUUCUGGCAGCAUUCAUGCAUAGAAUUGCUGCGAGCCCUUUGGGUUUUUAAGAUUGGAGAGUGACCUCAGGGGACCCACCUGGACCACGGCUGUGACAGAGCGAGGACAGGGCCCGACCUCACCCUGAGCCGCCGGGAUGCAGCGCUGGGCCCCGAGCUUCAGGCCCCUCCUGCUCUGGCUCCUGCUGCCCUGGCCAGGCGCAGGGCAGUUCCAAGUGAAGGGACCAAGCUCACCCGUCACUGCC
Molecule: long non-coding RNA, 380 nt
Organism: Chinchilla lanigera (long-tailed chinchilla)
Lineage: Eukaryota; Metazoa; Chordata; Mammalia; Rodentia; Chinchillidae
Exons: 3
Source: RefSeq, a predicted model, not a curated record